GAUGAAGAACGUAGCGAAAUGCGAUAACUAAUGUGAAUUGCAGAAUUCAGUGAAUCAUCGAGUCUUUGAACGCACAUUGCGCCCCCUGGUAUUCCGGGGGGCAUGCCUGUCCGAGCGUCAUUGCUGCCCUCAAGCACGGCUUGGGUGUUGGGCUCCGUCCCCCCGGGGACGGGCCCGAAAGGCAGCGGCGGCACCGAGUCCGGUCCUCGAGCGUAUGGGGCUUUGUCACCCGCUCUGUAGGCCCGGCCGGCGCCAGCCGACAACCCAUCAUCCUUUUCAGGUUGACCUCGGAUCAGGUAGGAUACCCGCUGAACUUAAGCAUAUCAAUAAGCGGAGGA
RNAcentral lists this unclassified non-coding RNA (338 nucleotides) under soil metagenome. RNAcentral's name for it is "partial contains 5.8S ribosomal RNA, internal transcribed spacer 2, and large subunit ribosomal RNA". The stretch from base 1 to 120 matches the Rfam family "5.8S ribosomal RNA", at positions 35 to 154 of the family's 154-position model. The record is from RNAcentral.